Molecule: ribosomal RNA, 463 nt
Filed under: uncultured Lactobacillus sp.
Lineage: Bacteria; Bacillati; Bacillota; Bacilli; Lactobacillales; Lactobacillaceae
Description: partial 16S ribosomal RNA
Source: RNAcentral
CACGUAGUUAGCCGUGACUUUCUGGUUGAAUACCGUCACUGUGUGAACAGUUACUCUCACGCACGUUCUUCUUCAACAACAGAGUUUUACGAGCCGAAACCCUUCUUCACUUACGCGGUGUCGCUCCAUCAGGCUUGCGCCCAUUGUGGAAGAUUCCCUACUGCUGCCUCCCGUAGGAGUAUGGACCGUGUCUCAGUUCCAUUGUGGCCGAUCAGUCUUUCAACUCGGCUAUGCAUCAUUGCCUUGGUAGGCCGUUACCCUACCAACUAGCUAAUGCACCGCGGGCCCAUCCUGAAGUGAUAGCCGAAACCAUCUUUACAAACGAAACCAUGUGGUUUCUUGUUAUGCGUAUAGCACUGUUCCAAUGUUACUCCCCGCUUCAGGGCUAGGUUCGCCCACGUUGUUACUCCGACCCGUCCGCCGCUCACUGGUAAUCCAUCGUCACUUCAGUGCAAGCACGCAG